GAAUCGUGAUUACUGAUUUUUAGUUUAAUAAUCGUACUUAAAAGUAUUAAAAAAUGGUUGCUACUAAUAAUUUGAACGACAGAAUAAAGAACGGAGAGCUUAACUUCAGUUCCUGCGGUUUGAAAGAAAUACAUACCUCUAAAAGAUGUCGCUAGUUUGAAACAUAUCAUGUUUGUUAAAUCUAUCUAACUACAAAAUAGCCUUGAUUCCGAGCAAGAAUCAAAGAAAAAUGACAAAAAAGCUUAAUAUUGAGGAAUCGCCACACAAACUAAACAAGAAGAUCGCAAACAGAAGUAACCUUUCAAGAUGAUGUACAGUUUUGCUCGGUUUUCAGUUCAUCUGAUACCUUUACUAAAUAGACAAUUGGCCAAAGUGAUCAGACGCAAUUUGUGGAUGUACAAUAUGAACGAUGAAAUGGUCCAAUACAUUUGUCAACAAGUGAAAUCUAUCUAUUCAUACGAAGAGCUUUUAUUCCAUUUUGAACUGAGUAUUUAAUUCGUUGUGACUCACGAAUUACCUCAUCAUAGAGUUUCAGCAGUUAUCACUGCUGCUUUCGUACGAUUAUUUAUACAUCAUUAAUUCAUUAUCAGUUGGUUGUAUGCAAUAAUGCAGUGUGUAUUUUUGGACAUUUUUCAUUUUGAUUUGUGUUCGAAUAGCUAGUGCUACCCGUGUAAUGACGAAGAUGCGAAUUUCGAUGUAAAUGUAGACACAUCGAAAUCCGUCACAAUUAGAUGCUUCAGUGUAGAUGUAAUUGUAGAUGUUUUGUAGAUGUACUUGUAGAUCAUUUUGUGGAUCAUCUACAAAACAUCUACAAAACAUCUACAAUGGAUCGACCUUGGCACGCCCUUUUGCAAUGUAAUAACAUGAAAUUGUAGUUUCAAAAUUGAAAAUUUUUCCCAAAAAUUAUUUUCUGAAAGUUGGCCACUGCUCCUGCGGAGAGAAGCAUUCACACAGAGGCCAACCUCCGCGAGGUACAGACAGAAGAUC
Long non-coding RNA from Planococcus citri (citrus mealybug), 987 nucleotides. RefSeq lists it as uncharacterized. The transcript has 3 exons. NCBI's taxonomy places the organism in Eukaryota, Metazoa, Arthropoda, Insecta, Hemiptera, Pseudococcidae. The record is from RefSeq and is a predicted model, not a curated record.